Molecule: long non-coding RNA, 284 nt
Filed under: Setaria viridis
Lineage: Eukaryota; Viridiplantae; Streptophyta; Magnoliopsida; Poales; Poaceae
Description: long non-coding RNA (SVIR_LNC009247)
Source: RNAcentral
GGGUGGUAAAGGGUCCUCUAAUUUAGUAUAGAAAAUUGAAGGAUCAGGCUCAAUAAGAGCCAAGCUAAAAUAGUAUGACCUUGUUAAUUUGAGCUUCUUGGAAGCUUUUUAGCGUGAAAAGGCAAAAGCUCAAAGAAACAGCGAAUUUCUCGUACAGGUUCCAAAAAACUGGAAGACUAGAAAAACUGAGUUUAUAUGGAAAGUUGGAAAGCUUAGUAAGUUUAUAUGGAAAGCUAGAAAGCUUAGUUUUAUGAGCUUUUUGUAGCUUGUGAACUCAGAAAGCU